UCUCCGUAGGUGAACCUGCGGAGGGAUCAUUACUGAGUGAGGGUUUAACCGCCCGACCUCCAACCCUUUGUGAAUCGUACUCGUUGCUUCGGGGGCGACCCUGCCUUUCGGCGCGGCGCCCCCGGAGGCUCAUCAAACACUGCAUCUUUGCGUCGGAGUGAUUUUGUAAAUCAAAACAAAACUUUCAACAGCGGAUCUCUUGGUUCUGGCAUCGAUGAAGAACGCAGC
Molecule: unclassified non-coding RNA, 228 nt
Filed under: uncultured fungus
Lineage: Eukaryota; Fungi
Description: sequence contains ITS1, 5.8S rRNA gene
Rfam family: 5.8S ribosomal RNA (bases 180-228)
Source: RNAcentral